This 218-nucleotide ribosomal RNA is filed under the name Escherichia coli. Its description in RNAcentral is "partial 16S ribosomal RNA". It matches the Rfam family "Bacterial small subunit ribosomal RNA", at positions 1 to 217 of the family's 1533-position model. Lineage: Bacteria; Pseudomonadati; Pseudomonadota; Gammaproteobacteria; Enterobacterales; Enterobacteriaceae. The record is from RNAcentral.
AAAUUGAAGAGUUUGAUCAUGGCUCAGAUUGAACGCUGGCGGCAGGCCUAACACAUGCAAGUCGAACGGUAACAGGAAGCAGCUUGCUGCUUUGCUGAUGAGUGGCGGACGGGUGAGUAAUGUCUGGGAAACUGCCUGAUGGAGGGGGAUAACUACUGGAAACGGUAGCUAAUACCGCAUAACGUCGCAAGACCAAAGAGGGGGACCUUCGGGCCUCU